RNAcentral lists this ribosomal RNA (253 nucleotides) under uncultured bacterium. Its description in RNAcentral is "partial 16S ribosomal RNA". It matches the Rfam family "Bacterial small subunit ribosomal RNA", at positions 524 to 776 of the family's 1533-position model. The record is from RNAcentral.
UACAGAGGGGGCAAGCGUUAUUCGGAAUUAUUGGGCGUAAAGAGCUCGUAGGCGGUCUGUCGCGUCGGCUGUGAAAACUCGGGGCUCAACUCCGAGCUUGCAGUCGAUACGGGCAGGCUAGAGUUCGGCAGGGGAGACUGGAAUUCCUGGUGUAGCGGUGAAAUGCGCAGAUAUCAGGAGGAACACCGGUGGCGAAGGCGGGUCUCUGGGCCGAUACUGACGCUGAGGAGCGAAAGCGUGGGGAGCGAACAGG